This 447-nucleotide ribosomal RNA is filed under the name uncultured bacterium. Its description in RNAcentral is "bacterial SSU rRNA". It matches the Rfam family "Bacterial small subunit ribosomal RNA", at positions 355 to 825 of the family's 1533-position model. The record is from RNAcentral.
UGGGGAAUAUUGGACAAUGGGCGAAAGCCUGAUCCAGCAAUGCCGCGUGAGUGAUGAAGGCCUUAGGGUCGUAAAGCUCUUUUACCCGGGAUGAUAAUGACAGUACCGGGAGAAUAAGCUCCGGCUAACUCCGUGCCAGCAGCCGCGGUAAUACGGAGGGAGCUAGCGUUGUUCGGAAUUACUGGGCGUAAAGCGUACGUAGGCGGUUAUUCAAGUCAGAGGUGAAAGCCCGGGGCUCAACCCCGGAACUGCCUUUGAAACUAGAUAGCUAGAAUCUUGGAGAGGUCAGUGGAAUUCCGAGUGUAGAGGUGAAAUUCGUAGAUAUUCGGAAGAACACCAGUGGCGAAGGCGACUGACUGGACAAGUAUUGACGCUGAGGUACGAAAGCGUGGGGAGCAAACAGGAUUAGAUACCCUAGUAGUCCCUGAGCGGGCUGGCAAGGCGCAU